This is a long non-coding RNA of Armigeres subalbatus, 596 nucleotides long. RefSeq lists it as uncharacterized. NCBI's taxonomy places the organism in Eukaryota, Metazoa, Arthropoda, Insecta, Diptera, Culicidae. The record is from RefSeq and is a predicted model, not a curated record. The transcript is spliced from 3 exons.
AUUACACAAAAUUUAAAAGUGUUGCCUUUGCCCAGUGUGAGGAUUUUGAUGUAGUUUCUCAGGAGAAGAUUAAGUGGGAAAUACGUCAGUAGCUCCGAUGUGGCAGGAGUAGAUUAUAGUUCUUGAGAUCGGCCUUUCUUCGACACCAUGGUGCAAUAGCAUGCAGAAGGUGAUGUUGUGGUGCGAGUUCGACAAUGGCAUGUCAAGCAGCGGGGUGGCCGGCAUGGCGCCGGUAGUCUUUCUCCCUCUCAUGUGUCCGGACACGAUCGUGUGCCUAGCUGUCGCCGUGGGAUAGACGAAAACACACGCACUACACUACAACAAAACCCUAGGAUAAGUCAAACAUAGGCUAAGUUCAUCAAUAAAUGUAAGUACACUCUAUAUGAUCACCCCCAUUUUUCUGUGAAACUAGAAUGUCUCUUUUGAGUUGGAAUGGCUCGAUUAUUCGUGGGAUGGUUCUGCUUUUCUCGAACCUAGUUGGUGCUGCGAAUCAGGUAUUUGGAUCGUGGGGUCAAUACCAGUGGCAUCCAUUCUAAAUUACAUAAUUCUUUGUCUCCGAGUCUCAUGCGCCCCCUUGGACUAGGGUCCGAGGGGUG